UCUUCGUUGGUGAACCAGCGGAGGGAUCAUUACCGAGUUUACAACUCCCAAACCCAAUGUGAACCAUACCAAACUGUUGCCUCGGCGGGGUCACGCCCCGGGUGCGUCGCAGCCCCGGAACCAGGCGCCCGCCGGAGGGACCAACCAAACUCUUUCUGUAGUCCCCUCGCGGACGUUAUUUUUACAGCUCUGAGCAAAAAUUCAAAAUGAAUCAAAACUUUCAACAACGGAUCUCUUGGUUCUGGCAUCGAUGAAGAACACAGC
This 264-nucleotide unclassified non-coding RNA is filed under the name plant metagenome. RNAcentral describes it as "partial contains small subunit ribosomal RNA, internal transcribed spacer 1, and 5.8S ribosomal RNA". The stretch from base 216 to 264 matches the Rfam family "5.8S ribosomal RNA", at positions 1 to 49 of the family's 154-position model. The record is from RNAcentral.